GUAACACUAACUGGAGGACCGAACCGACUAAUGUUGAAAAAUUAGCGGAUGACCUGUGGCUGGGGGUGAAAGGCCAAUCAAACCGGGAGAUAGCUGGUUCUCCCCGAAAGCUAUUUAGGUAGCGCCUCGUGAAUUCAUCUCCGGGGGUAGAGCACUGUUUCGGCUAGGGGGCCAUCCCGGCUUACCAACCCGAUGCAAACUGCGAAUACCGGAGAAUGUUAUCACGGGAGACACACGGCGGGUGCUAACGUCCGUCGUGAAGAGGGAAACAACCCAGACCGCCAGCUAAGGUCCCAAAGUCAUGGUUAAGUGGGAAACGAUGUGGGAAGGCCCAGACAGCCAGGAUGUUGGCUUAGAAGCAGCCAUCAUUUAAAGAAAGCGUAAUAGCUCACUGGUCGAGUCGGCCUGCGCGGAAGAUGUAACGGGGCUAAACCAUGCACCGAAGCUGCGGCAGCGACACUGUGUGUUGUUGGGUAGGGGAGCGUUCUGUAAGCCUGUGAAGGUGUGUCGUGAGGCAUGCUGGAGGUAUCAGAAGUGCGAAUGCUGACAUAAGUAACGAUAAAGCGGGUGAAAAGCCCGCUCGCCGGAAGACCAAGGGUUCCUGUCCAACGUUAAUCGGGGCAGGGUGAGUCGACCCCUAAGGCGAGGCCGAAAGGCGUAGUCGAUGGGAAACGGGUUAAUAUUCCCGUACUUGGUGUUACUGCGAAGGGGGGACGGAGAAGGCUAUGUUGGCCGGGCGACGGUUGUCCCGGUUUAAGCGUGUAGGUGUGUGUUCCAGGUAAAUCCGGUUCACUUUAACACUGAGGCGUGACGACGAGGCACUACGGUGCUGAAGCAACAAAUGCCCUGCUUCCAGGAAAAGCCUCUAAGCAUCAGGUAACAUCAAAUCGUACCCCAAACCGACACAGGUGGUCAGGUAGAGAAUACCAAGGCGCUUGAGAGAACUCGGGUGAAGGAACUAGGCAAAAUGGUGCCGUAACUUCGGGAGAAGGCACGCUGACACGUAGGUGAAGUGAUUUACUCAUGGAGCUGAAGUCAGUCGAAGAUACCAGCUGGCUGCAACUGUUUAUUAAAAACACAGCACUGUGCAAACACGAAAGUGGACGUAUACGGUGUGACGCCUGCCCGGUGCCGGAAGGUUAAUUGAUGGGGUCAGCGCAAGCGAAGCUCCUGAUCGAAGCCCCGGUAAACGGCGGCCGUAACUAUAACGGUCCUAAGGUAGCGAAAUUCCUUGUCGGGUAAGUUCCGACCUGCACGAAUGGCGUAAUGAUGGCCAGGCUGUCUCCACCCGAGACUCAGUGAAAUUGAACUCGCUGUGAAGAUGCAGUGUACCCGCGGCAAGACGGAAAGACCCCGUGAACCUUUACUAUAGCUUGACACUGAACAUUGAGCCUUGAUGUGUAGGAUAGGUGGGAGGCUUUGAAGUGUGGACGCCAGUCUGCAUGGAGCCGACCUUGAAAUACCACCCUUUAAUGUUUGAUGUUCUAACGUGGACCCGUUACCCGGGUUGCGGACAGUGUCUGGUGGGUAGUUUGACUGGGGCGGUCUCCUCCUAAAGAGUAACGGAGGAGCACGAAGGUUGGCUAAUCCUGGUCGGACAUCAGGAGGUUAGUGCAAUGGCAUAAGCCAGCUUGACUGCGAGCGUGACGGCGCGAGCAGGUGCGAAAGCAGGUCAUAGUGAUCCGGUGGUUCUGAAUGGAAGGGCCAUCGCUCAACGGAUAAAAGGUACUCCGGGGAUAACAGGCUGAUACCGCCCAAGAGUUCAUAUCGACGGCGGUGUUUGGCACCUCGAUGUCGGCUCAUCACAUCCUGGGGCUGAAGUAGGUCCCAAGGGUAUGGCUGUUCGCCAUUUAAAGUGGUACGCGAGCUGGGUUUAGAACGUCGUGAGACAGUUCGGUCCCUAUCUGCCGUGGGCGCUGGAGAACUGAGGGGGGCUGCUCCUAGUACGAGAGGACCGGAGUGGACGCAUCACUGGUGUUCGGGUUGUCAUGCCAAUGGCACUGCCCGGUAGCUAAAUGCGGAAGAGAUAAGUGCUGAAAGCAUCUAAGCACGAAACUUGCCCCGA
RNAcentral lists this ribosomal RNA (2065 nucleotides) under Salmonella enterica subsp. enterica serovar Enteritidis. Its description in RNAcentral is "partial 23S ribosomal RNA". It matches the Rfam family "Bacterial large subunit ribosomal RNA", at positions 756 to 2802 of the family's 2925-position model. Lineage: Bacteria; Pseudomonadati; Pseudomonadota; Gammaproteobacteria; Enterobacterales; Enterobacteriaceae. The record is from RNAcentral.